This 177-nucleotide ribosomal RNA is filed under the name uncultured bacterium. RNAcentral's name for it is "partial 16S ribosomal RNA". It matches the Rfam family "Bacterial small subunit ribosomal RNA", at positions 1315 to 1500 of the family's 1533-position model. The record is from RNAcentral.
CCUUCAUGAAGCCGGAAUUGCUAGUAAUGGCAGGUCAGCAUACUGCCGUGAAUACGUUCCCGGGCCUUGUACACACCGCCCGUCAAGCCAUGGAAGCCGGGAGUGCCUGAAGUGUGCAACCGCAAGGAGCGCCCUAAGGUAAAACCGGUGACUGGGGCUAAGUCGUAACAAGGUACC